This 400-nucleotide unclassified non-coding RNA is filed under the name soil metagenome. RNAcentral's name for it is "partial contains 5.8S ribosomal RNA, internal transcribed spacer 2, and large subunit ribosomal RNA". The stretch from base 5 to 120 matches the Rfam family "5.8S ribosomal RNA", at positions 40 to 154 of the family's 154-position model. The record is from RNAcentral.
GAUGAGAACGCAGCGAAAUGCGAUAAGUAAUGUGAAUUGCAGAAUUCAGUGAAUCAUCGAAUCUUUGAACGCACCUUGCGCCCCUUGGUUAUUCCAAAGGGCAUGCCUGUUUGAGUAUCAUGAACACCUCAACUCUUGUGGUUUCCCACAAUGAGCUUGGACUGUGGAGGUUUUGUUGGCCCUGUGGUCAGCUCCUCUCAAAUGGAUCAGCUUACCGGUGUUUGGUGGCAUUACGGGUGUGAUAACUAUCUACGCUCGUGGUCGUCUCCAAAUAACCUCCAGUGAUGGAGGUUCGCUGGAGCUUAUAAAUGUCUCUCCCCAGUGAAGACACCCUUUGAACGUUCGAUCUCAAAUCAGGUAGGACUACCCGCUGAACUUAAGCAUAUCAAUAAGCGGAGGA